This is an RNA transcript of Oncorhynchus tshawytscha (Chinook salmon), 1793 nucleotides long. It is a transcript of the gene named BLOC-1 related complex subunit 8, with no coding region annotated. The transcript is spliced from 6 exons. The record is from RefSeq and is a predicted model, not a curated record. NCBI's taxonomy places the organism in Eukaryota, Metazoa, Chordata, Actinopteri, Salmoniformes, Salmonidae.
AAUUCGUGUUGCAUUCCGAACAUGAUUUGUGAUGCGCAUGACAGUAACACGGAAACUGCAUGUUUAUUUUUGAUAACGCUUUAACACGAUUUAAACCCUUGCAAAUAUUUAAUUGUAGAUCGUUUACUGUGUAUAAGAUGGAGGACCAGGAGAUGCAACUGAAAGUUAAAAGAGUGACUGACAAAUUCACGGAGAACAUGUACGUGUUGGCUAACGAGCCAUCAGUGGCUCUUUAUCGACUGCAAGAACACGUUAGAAGGUCCCUCCCAGAGCUAGUACAACACAAAACAGAUAUGCAGAGCUGGGAGGAGCAAAGCCAAGGAGCAAUCUACACUGUGGAAUAUGCAUGCAGUGCAGUGAAAAGCAUGACAAACAGCAGCCUGUACUUCAAAAGCAUCGAUGGCCUCCUUCGUCAAGCCAUCAGCAUGAAGGAACAGAUCAGCACCUCCCAGGGGCGCAGCGCACAUGAAGUGACCCCCUCUCCCAUUCCCCCUGCCACUCCACCACAUCCCCCAUCUCCUUCCUCCUGACCUUUGGAAGACACUGUCCAAGGUUAGUCGAUCCUCAGGCAUCACUCAAAGCUAUACUUGGACUAAAGGACUUCUAGGCACUCUCUUGACUUUCAACAGGAGAAGAACCACAGACCCAAGAGUGCUGAAGGAAGGAGGAGAGAAACACAGCUCUGGGACAUGAUGAUGACGACAUUGUGGCAUUGCAGUGAGGCUCUGGCUAAGUUCCCUCUGAAAGGGAGCUGUGGGGUCAGGAGGUCAUUCACCCUACCAUCACAAUGGUGCCCUGCCCCCACCACCUCAACAAGACACUCAAUGGAAUGGAAAGCCAGCAGCUUUGCCAGGACAUACCAUAACAUACAUUAAUGCAUCAAAUAAGUCAUUAUUUUGGGCCUUGUGUAUCAAUCAAUUGGAGGGACUCUGAAAGUAGUGAUUUUUGCCUCUGCUGCAAAUUAACUGGAAUAUAUCUGUAGGAAUCUAAAUUAAGUUUUCCUUUCUAGGGUCACAACUAUUUGGUAGAAGCUGUUAAUUGUUUAGCCUAAACGUAUGUAAUGUCUGAUAAUUUAGCUAAAGCAGAUUCAUUUAAAAGCUUGCACGUGAGGUUCAUUUGUAUUUAUAAUGGAACCCCAUUAGCUGCUGCCAAAGCAACAGCUACACUUCUUGGGAUCCAGCAAAAAUGAAUGCAGUAAUAUAUAUAUAUAUAUAAGAAUAUAAUUUUAAACAUUAAAAUAAAUGUUACAACAUUAACUGUCUCUCUGCAGGCCACUACUCUAAUGCAACACGCUAUCCAGGUGUGUGUGUGUGUACAUAUGUACCUGUUUGUGUGACCCUUCAGUCCUCACUGUUCCAUAAGGUGUAUUUGUCUUUUUUAAAUCUGAUUUUAUUGCUUUUGGGAGUUACUUGAUGUGGAAUAGAGUUAUGUGGGCUGACUACUGUGUACAUAACGCUACCAAAUAUGUAGCAGUUUGUUACUUUUGAUUUUGCCAAUGAGUUUGGGGUGACAAGUGUUAAGACCAGCUGGAUGCAGAUUGCUUUGGUCCACAAUAUGUCCUGGUCAUUAACUAGGCCUCACUGUUAUUUGUUGUUGGUCUUACCUGCUAAGUAUACUGAAACCCCAAGGCAAAAUAGUCCUAUGGCCACAUGUCGGACAGCUCGGCUAUCCAAUAGGAACCAGUCUGCUCUGUGGGAGGAAAUGAAGCAAAUGCAAUCAGUUACAUGACCAUACUAUUUGUGGAAAGUGCUAAAUUAUGUAUUUAGACCAAAAUAAAUUCAAGGUUGUAAUUA